Molecule: long non-coding RNA, 2031 nt
Filed under: Theobroma cacao (cacao)
Lineage: Eukaryota; Viridiplantae; Streptophyta; Magnoliopsida; Malvales; Malvaceae
Description: long non-coding RNA (TCAC_LNC002870)
Source: RNAcentral
AAGUGUGGGAUUUCAAGAAAUUAAGCUAAUUUGUGGAGGGGCAUUUUAGUAAUUUCUAAGGGAGUGGAUAAGCUUGGGCCAUAAAUAUCCUCUCAUUCCAGCAACUUCCUCUUCUUGUUCUCUUCCCUCUCACGUUUUUUCAAUUUUUCCAUGGAAGCUUGAUGUGAAGCUUUCAUAACUUUCUCUCUGUAGCUCUAAUUUUCAUACACUGGUGCCCUUUUGACUAUAACCCUUGUAUUCUUCCACUCUCUCACUUCAAAACCCUUGAAAAUGAUGAAAAUCUUGUUUCCAUACCCUCUCACUAGUUAGGUGUUUUAGAGAGAGAAAGAGGAAGCUUUAUUAAUAGCUUAAGAGCUUUUGGAAAGAAGUUCAAAGUUAUAAAGCUAUCAAGGUGAGUAGUAAACUAGUAUUGGGUUUUAAGUGUUGAGAAUGACUAGAGAUUUGAUUUGUGAAUAUUUUGUAGUUGAGAUUAUUAAUUCACUUUAGAGUAUUAGAAAAGUGAAAAUGGAUGGCCAUUUAAAUGGCAAUUGAAAGCUAGCUAAAAGAUAGCUUUUAGAGUUUAUAGUAUGUAAAUUGACAUUAUGGAAAUGUUAAUUUGAUGGUAGAUGCUAACAAAGCCCCAUCACCCCAAUUGGAUCAUUAGGGGAAUUAAGAGUCAGUUAAAGGCUCAACGAAUACUUGUGAGUGGACUUGCAUUUCAAACUUGUUUUGGGGAAUAUGAAAUAUUCUAUCCACUUGUCUUAGAAAAUGUACCUUGGGAACAAGCUUUUAGUAAAAUGAUUUUAUAUUGUGAAAAUGUGCUAUAUAAUGGUUUAUGUGUUAUCACAAUAUGAUAAAAUGCAUGAUAUGCAUUGGAUGCUUCUUUGCAUGUUGAUGUGGACCCGGCUAUGUGGGAGUAGGAGUGCACAUAAGCCGUUGCUGACCCGACUAUGUGCGAGUAAGAGUGCACAUAAGCCGUUGCUGACCCGAUUAUGUGUGAGUGGGAGUGCACAUAAGCCAUUGCUGACCCGGUUAUAUGCAAGUGGGAGUACGCAUAAGCCGUUGCAUAUGAGAUGAUGAUGAUGGAAGGGUGUACAUGAUGAUUGAUAUAUAUAUAUAUAUAUAUAUAUAUAUAUAUAUAUAUAUAUAUAUAUAUAUANUAUAUAUAUAUAUAUAUAUAUAUAUAUAUAUAUAUAUAUAUAUAUAUAUAUACAUAUAUGGUAUAUGGUUGUAAAUGCAGAUAUGUGAGCACUUGAUUUGUUGAAAUUUAGGAGUUUACAUGUGUUACAUGUUGCUAUUGUUAUUUUAACAAGAUGGCUUGUUUUAAAGGAAAAUGAGACUUUUUCCUUGAUAUUCUGACUCUCGCUGCAGCGAGAAACUCUUGAGUUUGAGGGCCUUCACCAGACUUGGUUCUCACUGCAGUGAGAAUGAAGUUCACUGUAGCGAGAAACUUUUUGUCCAUUUUGGCUAACUUGUGAGUUUUGCUAUAUUUUUCAAUUCUUUGGUACCAUACUUAAGUAUGGAUCUUUUAAGUGAUUUACUCAUGAGGGGUUUACAUGAAGGGUUCUAUUAAGAACUAGAACAAAUUGCAUUGUUUUGAGAAAAUAAGUGCAUCACGAUUUCGAUAAACAUUCCUUAUGGUAUGCUUGUUCCCUUCUUGUUCACUCACUGAGUUUAUGUUCACCGCUUUCAACUUCAUGUUUUUAGAUUAAGAGACAGCCGGUAACUAGGACAAGGUGUCCUCGUGGACUUGUAUCCAUCUUUUGGUAGGUGUCUCGGUAUUCAGUAGCUGUACAUUCGUCCGAGUCUCUCCGCUGGACAUCGAGUCUCCUUUUGUUGUGUAUAGACGAACCUAAUGUGAAUUAUUAAGAUACAUGUGUAGACAGUGUAUAUACACUUGUUUGGUAUGCCAGUAUGAAGUGGCAAUGCUUAAUAUUAUUUUGAUUCUAAGUUAUGAUAUAUGACUUAGCAGUUUAUGAUGGAAUGAUGAACAUGUCAGAUUAAUAGGCUUGCUUGGGCUUAGUGGACUACGUCCAUUGGGCCCAUGCGCCG